This 680-nucleotide ribosomal RNA is filed under the name uncultured Planctomycetota bacterium. RNAcentral describes it as "bacterial SSU rRNA". It matches the Rfam family "Bacterial small subunit ribosomal RNA", at positions 609 to 1278 of the family's 1533-position model. The record is from RNAcentral. Lineage: Bacteria; Pseudomonadati; Planctomycetota.
UCAACGGAAGAAUUGCAUCUGAAACUGCAAUUCUUGAGUGUAGGAGGGGAGAAUGGAACUUCUGGUGGAGCGGCGAAAUGCGUAGAUAUCAGAAGGAACGCCGGCGGCGAAAGCGAUUCUCUGGCCUAUUACUGACACUCAGUGUGCGAAAGCUAGGGGAGCAAACGGGAUUAGAUACCCCGGUAGUCCUAGCCGUAAACGAUGGGCACUAAGUAGAGGGAAUUACCGAUGUUCUCUCUGCCGUAGCUAACGCAUUAAGUGCCCCGCCUGGGGAGUACGGCCGCAAGGCUAAAACUCAAAAGAAUUGACGGGGGCUCGCACAAGCGGUGGAGCAUGUGGCUUAAUUCGAUGCAACGCGAAGAACCUUACCGGGGCUUGACAUGGUAGAAGUAGGAACCCGAAAGGGUAACGAACGGUAUCCAGUCCGUAGCUAUCACAGGUGUUGCAUGGCUGUCGUCAGCUCGUGUCGUGAGACGUUGGGUUAAGUCCCCUAACGAGCGAAACCCUUGUUUUUAGUUACCAGCGGGUUGUGCCGGGUACUCUAGAAAGACUGCCGUCGUCAAGACGGAGGAAGGUGGGGAUGACGUCAAGCCAUCAUGGCCCUUAUGCCCCGGGCUGCACACGUGCUACAAUGGUCGGUACAAACGGAAGCGAAGCCGAGAGGUGAAGCGAAUCCAAGC